Molecule: long non-coding RNA, 4778 nt
Organism: Cornus florida
Lineage: Eukaryota; Viridiplantae; Streptophyta; Magnoliopsida; Cornales; Cornaceae
Exons: 2
Source: RefSeq, a predicted model, not a curated record
UUUUCUUAUCUCAUUGACUACUUAUUUUGUUACGCCGACUACUUAUUUUGUUAUGCUAUAUUAUAGGCGCUUUUUACUUUUUCACCUUAUUAUGUGGUGUUUACUAUCCAUGUGUUUGAUAACCGCAAAUGAUUACGUUGGCUUUACUUUUAUUGUUUGAAUAUCUUAUUUGAUUGUUCUUAUCCUGAAAAAACAAAAGGAAAGUUAUAACUAAAUGAACUUAUUCGACAAUUGUUUUGGCUGAUGGAAGCAAUGACCAACACUGAAAUCCUUUUAGAGGCGGAAACAAAUCUAGGGUUAUGUCCAGGGGCAAUUGCGAACACGAGAAAUGGUCGCAAGUCAUAACAUGGGAGCACUUGAGCGAAUGGGGCCGGGAGGCUUCCCCAUUACUAGACCUAGCUCUGGGAGUAUGAUGCCUGGUAUUCCUAGUACAAGGAAGAUGCCGGGGUUGCUUGGGCUUGAUAUUGACAAAUGUCAAAGGGGUGGGACUAGGAUCCUCUGCUGUAAAUGGGUCCUGUUGUACUUAUGCUGUAGUGCAAAAAGGUAUGUUUUUAAAAAGGAUCAUUUUUUAUUGAGAUGGAAAAAAGGAACGACGUUACGGUAAAAAUAUUACCAAAAAAAAAAAAAAAAAGAGAGAAAACUACCAAUUAGAGAGAAAAAAAAAAAAAAAAAAAAAAAAAAAAAAAAGGAAAAAAAAUAUUUUGCUUUAGCGCUCCCUCAUCACCGUUCGGUAAAACAAUGACAAAUAUUUGAAGCCAAAGUGACCUGAUAAUAUAAUAUGUGAGAGAGUCCAUGUUUUUGUGGUAGACCUUUUUUUUUUCCUUUUCAAAUUACUCAGAAUUAAGUUUGAGAAAAAAUUAAAAGGCAUUGAGGUAAAGAUGUAAAGAUUAAAGUUGUCGAUAAUAAGUUUAAAAUGUGUUGACAACAAGAUUAAAGCUGUUGAAAAUAAAAUUAAAAGGUGAUGAGGUAAUAUUAAAGGUAUCGAGAACAAUAUUAAAGGGUGGUGAGAAAAAUAUUGAAGUUGUUGAGAAAAAGAAUAAAUGUGUUAUAAACAAGAUUAAAAGUGUUGAGAAAAAGAACAAGAUUAAAGGUGUUGAGAAAAAGGUUAAGGGUGUUGAGAAAAAGAUUAAAAAGUGUUGAGAACCCGAUUAGAGGUGUUGAGAAAACUAUUAAAUCGUGUUGAGGUAAAGAUUAAAGGUGUUGAGGUGAUUAAAGGGUGCUGAAGUAAUGAUUAGAAGGUUUUUAGAAUCCAACUAAAGGUAUUGAGAACAGUAUUAAAUGUAUUGAGAAUAAGAUUAAAAUGUGUUGAGAAUGAUUUAAUUAGGUAUCUUUCCAAGCAUAGGGACUUAAAUUCCUUAAAUUUCAAUUAUAUUUAUCUCUACUUGUUUCAUAUGUUAAAAUUUCGAAAUUGAAUUUUUCAUGAAUUUUUUUAUCAACCGUUGCACAAAUUGUUUUUCUUCUAGCAGAGGACUGUUGUUCCACUUUUCGAUUUUACCUAACUAAUCGCGCCCUAUUGUCUUGGAGUGUGACAAUGUCCACUAUUUUUUUGAAAAAUAUAGAUGCUAAUAUAUUAUGAAUCAUAUAUAUGGCCUAGCAGUACCAAGCCCCUACUUCUCAAAGAGAGGUUAGGGGUUCGAGCCUCCGUGAAGGCAUGUGUGUGAGUACCCAACUAGAAAAAAAAAAAAAAAGAAUGAAAUUCUUGUUCAAAAAGCAGUUUCAUAAUUAGUAUUUACUUCUAAAACAUUGGACAUUAUCUUUUCAAAAAAUAACAAAUAUUUGAAGCCAAAGUGACCUGAUAAUAUAAUAUGUGGGAAACAAAGUCCAUGUUGUUGUGGUAGACUUAUUUGAGUUUGAGAAAAAAUUAAAAGGCAUUGAGGUAAAAAUUAUAGGGUCUUCAAGUAAAGAUAAAGGUGUUGAGAAUAAGAUUAAAAGAUGUUGAGAAUAAGAUUAAAAGGUGUUGAUGUAAUAUUAAAGGUGCUAAGAACAAGAUUAAAUGCUGUUGAGAAAAAGAUUAAAGGUGUUGAAAACAUGAUUAAAAGUGUUGAGAAAAAUAUUAAAAGGUGUUGAGAAAAAGAUUAAAAGGUGUUGAGAAAAAAGAUUAAAGGUGUUAAAAAUAAGAUUAAAUGUGUUGAGAACGAGAUUAAAAGAUGUUGAGAAUAAGAUUAAAACGUGUUAAGAAAAUAUUAAAUGGUGUUAAGAAAAGAUUAAAAGGUGUUGAGAAAAAGAUUAAGAAAAAUCUUUAAUCUUUACCUCAACACAAUUUAAUAGUUUUCUCAACACUUUUAAUCUUGUUCUCAACACCUUUAAUCAUGCUCACAACACUUUUAAAUCUUUUUCUCAACACGUUUAAAUCUCGUUUUCAAUAUAUUUAAUCUUAUUCUUAACACUUUUAAUCUUUUUCUCAUAAGGUGUUGACAACAUGAUUAAAAGUGUUGAGAAAAAAAUUAAAAGGUGUUGAGAACAAGAUUAAAGGUGUUGAGCAAAAAGAUUAAAAAGUGUUGAGAACAAGAUUAAAAUGCUUUAAGAACAAGAUUAAAAUGUGUUAAGAAUAAGAUUAAAAGGUGUUGAGAAAAAGAUUGAAGGUAUUUAGAAAAAUCUUUAAUCUUUACCUCACCACCUUUAAUCUUGUUUUCAACAUCUUUAAUCUUGUUUACAACACUUUUUAAUCUUUUUCUCAACACCUUUAAAUCUUGUUCUCAAUACAUUUAAUCUUAUUCUUUGACACUUUUAAUUUUUUUCUCAACACUUUUAAUCUUGUUUUAAACACCUUUUAGUCUUUUUCUCAACACCCUUUGAUCUUGUUUACGACACAUUUAAUAUCACUUCAACAAAUUUUAAUCUGGUUCUCAACAGCUUUAAUCUUGUUCUAAACACCUUUUAAACUUAUUGUCAAUAACUUUAAUCUUUAUCUCAAGACCCUAUAAUCCUUUACCUCAAUGCCUUUUAAUUUUUUUCUCAAACUCAAAUCUGAGUAAUUUGGGAGAAAAAAAAGUCAGAUCAUUUUGGCUUCAAAUAUUUGUCAUUGUUUUAUGGGACGGUGAUGAGGGGGUGCUGAAGCAGAAUAUUUUGUUUUCCUUUUUUCGUCUCUCAAAAAUUAUCCUUUUUGAAAACAUACAUUUUUGCACUACAGCAUGGGUAUAGCAGGAUUCAUUUACAGCAAAGGAUGCUAGUCCCAAAGGGGUGAUGGUUAUGGUCCUACUCAGUCUGCCAGAUGUUUCCAGUCACCUUUGAUCGGGAAGUCGGCACCCCUCAAUUCAAAAUUGUUACCUCUAGGAGGUGGUGGUUUCGUAACUGGAAAAACCCUGCUGCAGAGAUGUGGCAGUCCCCUUACCCGAACUUCUGUUUUUGUUUCAGGAGUAGAACCCAUAAGUUAAAACCUUAAGCCUGCUUCUCUGGCACCAUUUGCAAUUUCUUCCUGCCACAGGCUCCUGCAACAAAAUCGAAUCUUGCAUAUAUUUUAGGAGAACUAUUCCCGUUUAGAGGAAUAUAUUGUGUUCGGGUUCUUGAUGAAGCAUUGCAGUGUGUGGAAGAUCUUCAACAUAUCACCCUGAGGUCAUUUAAAAAGCCAUUGCCUUGCACUGGAGAAUAGCCCCCUUUUGUAGAACCAAUCAUAAAGCUUUUGAAAUUUAUGUUUAAGAGAAAAGUUUUGAUGACCAGAAACAUAGGAACUGGACCUCUUUUAUAAGCCUCCAAGUUGGAUUAAAUUGCAUUGAUUUGCCGAAAGCACCAAAUAAUUUUGGGGAGGUUGUUGGGAAGUUGGUUAUGGUUGGGGGUUUGGACUUUAAGGUGGUUGUUGAAGUUUUGAAAAAGGUGGAAGAUGAUAGAUUCCGAUCAGCCAUUUUUUAUGCCGCUAUAGGGAGCAUUUAUUUUAGGCCUUCCAAGGAGUCUAGGCAAUAAUGCAAGGGGCUGAUAUUAUGUUUGUGAUGUGAGAAACUGAUAUCGAACUGCUUAAAAACCAAACUGUUUCUUUUUACACGAUCUGGUUCGAAUCGUUCUGCCAGAAACUCAGUCUCUGCCCCCUGUUCCGAUGAGUUGUAUAUUUUUCGAGGAUUUUGUGUUUCUUUAUCAAGGGAUCUAACAAAAUGCCUCAAGUGUUGAUUCUCAACUCUAUCCGAGUUUCAGUAUUUCAGGGGUGAGUUACACGAUCCGGUUACUUUAGUUUCUGAAUUUAUAUGUACGGUAUAAUUUUGGAUUUUGCUUCUCAUGGGCUCAAUUUUUUCUCACAGAUAUUGUUUUUAGUCUGUUUUUUUUAUUCAAUGGGGUUCAAGUUAUCUUUCAAGAUUGUCCUAUAGCUUUUUAAAUUGGAUGGGGUCUGAACUUUGAAACUUGUAAUUUUCAGUUGCUUUAGCCUGUUCGAUAUUUGAUUACAGCCCAACAGACUCUAUAUUAUUGCAGCUUUGCUUCACCCAAGAUGCAAUAAGAUCAUGAAGCAAGUUCUCAAGGGUUUCUCUUCAAUAACUCCACAAAUCAAAUCUUGAUGCUGUGCGGUGUAGCCUUCCAGGCUUGGAUGUUUUAUCAUCCAGCUUACAGAUAACUGAGAGCUUUGUUCUUUUGUUUUUGAAUUAACAUGUUGGAUUACAUUUACACCCAAAAGAUUUAUUUUUAUUUUUAUUUUUUAUUUUUUAUUUUAUUUUCUUUUCUUUUCUUUUCUUUGUCGAAAGUUCAAGAAAACACACAUUCAUUAUAUUGAUGCUGUGCAGUGUAGCCUUCUAGGCUUGGAUGUUUUAUCAUCCAGCUUACAGAUAACUGGGAGCUUUGUUCUUUUGUUUUUGAAUUAA